CUUGAAUAUCGUAGAGAAAAUCCCGCUUUGUUUGUAACCACAACCCUCGCCAGGCUCACACCUGUUCCACUAACCACGACUCCGAUAUAGGAGUCUUCAUCACCCGCCGCCUCCGUAUGCCCACUAGACGAGUCGUGACCGCCACUGCUCGUCUGCUCCACCACCAUCAGUCUCUGUUCCACCGCGACAUUGCCUUCGUUCUGUCUCCCGUCAAGUCAUUUCCGUUACUCUUCACCACCAACCAUCUACUGGUGCUUAUGUCCGCCAUAUUCGGGAUCAUAUUGGCCCAUCCGCAUUUCAGCCCAUGCAUCUCCAUGCGGGGACUAUCACCACUUUCUGCGCCUGCGAAAACUGAUUGCAAUACUUGCCUGCUCUCUCAGUUGAGACUUUGAGGUGAUAAUUCGUUUUAUUGAAUUCAUUGCUUUUUAUUGAAUUGAAUUCAUUUCCAUGGGGGAGCAUUAC
RNAcentral lists this long non-coding RNA (462 nucleotides) under Olea europaea subsp. europaea. The record is from RNAcentral. Lineage: Eukaryota; Viridiplantae; Streptophyta; Magnoliopsida; Lamiales; Oleaceae.